This 30-nucleotide ribosomal RNA is filed under the name uncultured Ascomycota. Its description in RNAcentral is "partial 18S ribosomal RNA". The record is from RNAcentral. Lineage: Eukaryota; Fungi; Ascomycota.
UCCGUAGGGGAACCUGGGGAAGGAUCAUUA